GACGAACGCUGGCGGCGUGCUUAACACAUGCAAGUCGAACGGAAAGGCCCUGCUUUUGUGGGGUGCUCGAGUGGCGAACGGGUGAGUAACACGUGAGUAACCUGCCCUUGACUUUGGGAUAACUUCAGGAAACUGGGGCUAAUACCGGAUAGGAGCUCCUGCUGCAUGGUGGGGGUUGGAACGUUUCGGCGGUUGGGGAUGGACUCGCGGCUUAUCAGUUUGUUGGUGGGGUAGUGGCUUACCAAGGCUUUGACGGGUAGCCGGCCUGAGAGGGUGACCGGCCACAUUGGGACUGAGAUACGGCCCAGACUCCUACGGGAGGCAGCAGUGGGGAAUAUUGCACAAUGGGCGGAAGCCUGAUGCAGCAACGCCGCGUGCGGGAUGACGGCCUUCGGGUUGUAAACCGCUUUCGCCUGUGACGAAGCGUGAGUGACGGUAAUGGGUAAAGAAGCACCGGCUAACUACGUG
RNAcentral lists this ribosomal RNA (468 nucleotides) under uncultured bacterium. Its description in RNAcentral is "partial 16S ribosomal RNA". It matches the Rfam family "Bacterial small subunit ribosomal RNA", at positions 28 to 507 of the family's 1533-position model. The record is from RNAcentral.